GACUGGAAGCUGGCUUUGGAGUGAUGGUACAGGCGUGUCCGGAACUUUCUGGUGUCCACAAAAACCAGACAACACACAAGCAGAGUGCUGUCUGAAGACCAACACUCAACCCGCCCAAUGCUGGGAUGACACCGCCUGUAACACACUACUGCCAUAUGUGUGUGCAAAGUCUCUUUAGACUGCAGAAGACUAUGGAUGGAUGGAUAUUUACCAACUGGAGAAUAUAACACAGACAUCCUUUCAUACAUGUAAUAAACAUAUUGAGCAUUGA
Non-coding RNA from Nerophis lumbriciformis (worm pipefish), 271 nucleotides. Lineage: Eukaryota; Metazoa; Chordata; Actinopteri; Syngnathiformes; Syngnathidae. The record is from RefSeq and is a predicted model, not a curated record.